CAUACCGAGCAUGUGUAAGCCCUGUGUUACAACGGUGAUGCCAGAGAGCUAGAAGUUGUGACCUCGUUGAGUAGCUGUCUGCUUGGAUCCUACGGAUGCAUCCCUCAGCGUAGUUCACGCAAGGGAGAAUCCAAUGGCAAAGAUUCACCUGGGGUGACCAUGGAAAGAGGAAUCUCAGGGCCAACUUGGGCCAGAGCUACCACUUGGGGCAGGAGACAGGAGCCAUCAGAAGCCAAGACACCCCAGUUUUACAACCGCAUUUCUAUGGAUGCGCAAACCAAGGCUUAGAGAUCCAAGGCUAGAAAGCGGCAGACCCAGGAUUUGAAGCUAAGACUGUUUAACACCAAAGCCCUCACUCUUCAUAUCACAGCAGGAAUAAGGAUAACCGUGAACACUGGACAGUCUGGGAAAUCCAAGGAGACAGCUCACUGGAAGGCUGGACUGAGGUGGGGGUGCACUUGCCUUGGAGGUCCACUGCCCACAGGUGACACGGCUCAUUACCAGCAGGUUUUCUUGGUGAGACGUGACGAGGCCCUAAUGCCUCAGCGUGAGCCCACUGGCUUGGGAUGGCUGGUUGUUUCUAACUAGGUAUGAAGCCAGGUAUUAGACACAAUGCCGUUUUGGCCCCGACGCGGGAGGGAGAUGGAAGGGGCUGCUGGCGUCCGCGGGCUCGUCUUGUUCCGCCGUCCGGCCGGCACACGCAGCAGGGCCCCCGCGCAGCCAGGAGCCCCCAGGAAGCACGUGGCGCACUCGUCCUGCAGGUUCAGAAGGCAAGCUCACAGCCUUCAAAGCGCCUGACAUCCUUUCAGGUUAGCUGCUACAAAGGCAAAUGCAAACAGAGUGCGUUUUGGAGGCGUUCUGUCAGUCAGCUUUCAAUCUGUAUGUUCUUCUAGACACUCCUUCUCCUGCCUGAUUUAUUUCAUAUUAAAAGGGCUGUCAAUCUGUAUCACAAGAACAGGUGGAGAGAAAGUGAGUGAUGUUUACCAAGUGAGUUUGGGGUUGUUGUUUGUUAUUGUUAGGAAUAACAGCCCCCCAUCUCUGGCCGUACUCCUGAUUCACCCUCCACUGGCUCUCCCGGCCCCUGCUUGCCUUUCUCUGCAGGUAUCGGCACAUCAGAGGUAUGAAUUCCACGUACUCGGCGCAUUUACAUUAGAAACGUAUUUUGUGAGGCUGUGGCAGACCCUUUUUUAUUAUCCAUCAAAUAUAUCUCUUUUUACCAUCUGAUGGCUUGGCAACAGGACCAUUCUUCUUUCAAAUAAAAUAAAUGUGCCUGCGAUAUGGCAGAAUAUUCUGCGUUGAAGAGGCUGUGCCCUGGCUAAUGCGUGCUGCAUUCUGUGGGCUUCAUUACAACGGGACACUAAAGAUGCAAUAUACAGUUCCCGAUGGGAUUGCUUUAUG
This is a long non-coding RNA of Ailuropoda melanoleuca (giant panda), 1398 nucleotides long. RefSeq lists it as uncharacterized. The transcript is spliced from 3 exons. The record is from RefSeq and is a predicted model, not a curated record. NCBI's taxonomy places the organism in Eukaryota, Metazoa, Chordata, Mammalia, Carnivora, Ursidae.